AUUGAACGCUGGCGGAAUGCUUUACACAUGCAAGUCGAACGGCAGCACGGGGGCGAACCCUGGUGGCGAGUGGCGAACGGGUGAGUAAUACAUCGGAACGUGCCCAGUCGUGGGGGAGUAACUACGCGAAAGACGUAGCUAAUACCGCAUACGAUCUACGGAUGAAAGCGGGGACCGCAAGGCCUCGCGCGAUUGGAGCGGCCGAUGGCAGAUUAGGUAGUUGGUGGGGUAAAGGCUCACCAAGCCGACGAUCUGUAGCUGGUCUGAGAGGAC
This 273-nucleotide ribosomal RNA is filed under the name uncultured bacterium. RNAcentral describes it as "partial 16S ribosomal RNA". It matches the Rfam family "Bacterial small subunit ribosomal RNA", at positions 30 to 301 of the family's 1533-position model. The record is from RNAcentral.